UAGGGAAUAUUGGUUAAUGGGCGAAAGCCUGACCCAGCAACGCCGCGUGCGCGAUGAAGGCCUUCGGGUUGUAAAGCGCUUUUAAGUGGGAUGAGGAAGGACAGUACCACUAGAAUAAGUCUCGGCUAACUACGUGCCAGCAGCCGCGGUAACACGUAGGAGACGAGCGUUAUCCGGAUUUACUGGGUGUAAAGCGCGUGCAGGCGGUAUGGAAAGUUGGAUGUGAAAGCUCCCGGCUUAACUGGGAGAGGUCGUUCAAAACUACCGAACUAGAGUACAGCAGAGGGGAGUGGAAUUCCGAGUGUAGCGGUAAAAUGCAUAGAUAUUCGGAAGAACACCAGUGGCGAAGGCGGCUCCCUGAGCUGAAACUGACGCUCAGACGCGAAAGCUAGGGUAGCGAACG
Molecule: ribosomal RNA, 403 nt
Filed under: uncultured bacterium
Lineage: Bacteria
Description: bacterial SSU rRNA
Rfam family: Bacterial small subunit ribosomal RNA
Source: RNAcentral